Molecule: transfer RNA, 84 nt
Filed under: Echinostoma caproni
Lineage: Eukaryota; Metazoa; Platyhelminthes; Trematoda; Plagiorchiida; Echinostomatidae
Rfam family: tRNA
About the family: Transfer RNA (tRNA) molecules are approximately 80 nucleotides in length. Their secondary structure includes four short double-helical elements and three loops (D, anti-codon, and T loops).
Source: Rfam by way of RNAcentral
GGCCUCGUAGCUCAGCUGGUAAAGCGCGCAUUGUAGAAAAGGGUCGGCGGCAUCCGUGCGAGGGUUCAAAUCCCACCGAGACUA